UACGUAGGUGGCAAGCGUUAUCCGGAUUUACUGGGCGUAAAGAGCGCGCAGGCGGUCGUACAAGUCGCGUGUGAAAGCCCCCGGCUCAACUGGGGAGGGUCACGCGAUACUGUUCGACUCGAAGGCAGGAGAGGGAAGCAGAAUUCCCGGUGUAGUGGUGAAAUGCGUAGAUAUCGGGAGGAAUACCAGUGGCGAAGGCGGCUUCCUGGCCUGUUCUUGACGCUGAGGCGCGAAAGCUAGGGUAGCAAACGGG
Molecule: ribosomal RNA, 253 nt
Filed under: uncultured bacterium
Lineage: Bacteria
Description: partial 16S ribosomal RNA
Rfam family: Bacterial small subunit ribosomal RNA
Source: RNAcentral